This 723-nucleotide unclassified non-coding RNA is filed under the name Hevea brasiliensis (rubber tree). Lineage: Eukaryota; Viridiplantae; Streptophyta; Magnoliopsida; Malpighiales; Euphorbiaceae. The record is from RNAcentral.
AAUCUGUUACUAUAAUAAUCUGAUCGAAUUAAUCAAGAACCAAAACAAAUUAAAUUAUUCUUGAACUGUCACACAGUUUUAUUAUACAGCAGAAUUCAUUUCAAUCUUUUCAAAUGAGCACAUUAACAUUAAGUGAUCAUUGUAAUGAAGAGGAAAUUUAAAAUUGAUGGAAUAAUUAAUUAACUAUAUAGAUCAGGCCUUGUGUUCAAGCUGGGGAUGAUUAGAAGAAGAAGAGGGUGCACCUUCCUGAAGGGCACUGCCCUCCACGGACUUAGCAUGCAAACCUUUACCCAACUUCUCUUCCUUCUUGAUUACUUCAUCAACAUGCACAUCGUCUUCAAUAUCAAGAAUUACAACUUUUGGUCCAUGAGGUCCUUCUACGAUGGCCUCUUUCGCCUUCUUGUGUUCAUCCACGUGAAUAAGAUCGGUUUCUUUAACUUCCUUUUUCUUCUUUUUCUUAAGGAAGCAACACAGAGCGACCGCAAGAAAUGCAAGGAAGAAAAGGCCACCAAGUGAGACAAAUACCACGACUAUGAUUGUGGUGUUGUCGCUUGGUGAUGGUGCAGGGGGUGGAGGUGGGCGUACAUGAGGUGGUGGUGGUGGUGGUGGAUGGAAAGGGUGACUUGGUGGUGGAGGAGGGAAAUAUGGGAAGUCGAAGUUAUUAGAAGAGGCCAUGUGAAGACGGUAGAUACUUUGAAUGAGCUAGAAGAUUUUUUAAUGAUA